CCCUUAGAUGUCCUGGGCCGCACGCGCGUUACACUGAUGCAUUCAACGAGCUUAUAACCUUGGCCGAGAGGCCUGGGCAAUCUUGUUAACGUGCAUCGUGAUAGGGAUAGAUUAUUGAAAUUAUUAAUCUUGAACGAGGAAUUCCUAGUAAACGCAGAUCAUCAAUCUGCAUUGAUUACGUCCCUGCCCUUUGUACACACCGCCCGUCGCACCUACCGAUUGAAUGAUCCGAUGAAUACCAUGGAUUGAGAGUACGAAUAGGUUCGCUUAUUUCUGCUGCUCGAGAAGUGGAGUAAAUCUUAUCAUUUAGAGGAAGGAGAAGUCGUAACA
This 330-nucleotide ribosomal RNA is filed under the name uncultured eukaryote. RNAcentral's name for it is "partial 18S ribosomal RNA". It matches the Rfam family "Eukaryotic small subunit ribosomal RNA", at positions 1470 to 1796 of the family's 1831-position model. The record is from RNAcentral.